GACGACGCGUGGCGGCGUGGAUUAGGCAUGCAAGUCGAACGGUAUCAUCCUUCGGGGGUGAGAGAGUGGCGAACUGGUGAGUAACACGUAGGUUAUCUACCCUCAAGACGGGGACAACCCAGGGAAACUUGGGCUAAUACCGGAUGUGAGCAACUUUUAGUUGUUUGAAAGGUGGCGUAAGCUGUCGCUUGGGGAUGAGCCUGCGUCCUAUUAGUUAGUUGGUGAGGUAACGGCUCACCUAGGCAAUGAUAGGUAGGCGGCCUUAACGGGUGGUCGCCCACACUGGGAUUGAGAUACGGCCCAGACUCCUACGGGAGGCAGCAGUCGAGAAUAGUCUACAAUGGUCGGAAGACUGAUAGCGCGACGCCGCGUGAACGAUGAAUCCCUUCGGGGUGUAAAGUUCUUUUAUAUGUGAGCAGUGCUUCUUAUAUUAACAGUAUGGGGAGAGAGAUAUUAGCAUAUGAAUAAGCAACGGCUAACUCCGUG
RNAcentral lists this ribosomal RNA (486 nucleotides) under uncultured bacterium. RNAcentral describes it as "bacterial SSU rRNA". It matches the Rfam family "Bacterial small subunit ribosomal RNA", at positions 37 to 507 of the family's 1533-position model. The record is from RNAcentral.